CAAGCUGUCACUUAGCAUGGUAGAGGGCUACCUUUGGGACGUAGAGCCGGAGGUUCGAAUCCUCUCACCCCGACCA
This 76-nucleotide transfer RNA is filed under the name Limnohabitans sp. B9-3. RNAcentral's name for it is "tRNA-Pro". It matches the Rfam family "tRNA". Rfam says of the family: Transfer RNA (tRNA) molecules are approximately 80 nucleotides in length. Their secondary structure includes four short double-helical elements and three loops (D, anti-codon, and T loops). The record is from RNAcentral. Lineage: Bacteria; Pseudomonadati; Pseudomonadota; Betaproteobacteria; Burkholderiales; Comamonadaceae.